CGGCCCGCGUCUGAUUAGCUAGUUGGUAGUGUAAUGGACUACCAAGGCGACGAUCAGUAGCUGGUCUGAGAUGGUGAUCAGCCACAUUGGGACUGAGACACGGCCCAAACUCCUACGGGAGGCAGCAGUAGGGAAUCUUCGGCAAUGGACGAAAGUCUGACCGAGCAACGCCGCGUGAGUGAAGAAGGUUUUCGGAUCGUAAAACUCUGUUGUGAGAGAAGAACGACGAGGAGAGUGGAAAGCUCCUCGUGUGACGGUAUCUCACCAGAAAGGGACGGCUAACUACGUGCCAGCAGCCGCGGUAAUACGUAGGUCCCGAGCGUUGUCCGGAUUUAUUGGGCGUAAAGCGAGCGCAGGUGGUUUAUUAAGUCUGGUGUAAAAGGCAGUGGCUCAACCAUUGUAUGCAUUGGAAACUGGUAGACUUGAGUGCAGGAGAGGAGAGUGGGAUUCCAUGUGUAGCGGUGAAAUGCGUAGAUAUAUGGAGGAACACCGGUGGCGAAAGCGGGUCUCUUGGCUGUAACUGACACUGAGGGUUCGAAGCGUGGGGGAGCAACAAGAUUAAAUACCCCUGGGAGUCCACCCCCUAAACGAUGAGUGGUAGAUUGUAGGGGCUAUAAAUUCUCUGUAUCCCAACUAAACCAAUAAGCACCCCCCCCGGGGAGGACGACCGCCAGGGUGAAA
RNAcentral lists this ribosomal RNA (681 nucleotides) under uncultured bacterium. Its description in RNAcentral is "bacterial SSU rRNA". It matches the Rfam family "Bacterial small subunit ribosomal RNA", at positions 227 to 899 of the family's 1533-position model. The record is from RNAcentral.